This 425-nucleotide ribosomal RNA is filed under the name uncultured bacterium. Its description in RNAcentral is "bacterial SSU rRNA". It matches the Rfam family "Bacterial small subunit ribosomal RNA", at positions 356 to 773 of the family's 1533-position model. The record is from RNAcentral.
GGGGAAUCUUGCGCAAUGCGCGAAAGCGUGACGCAGCAACGCCGCGUGGGGGAAGACGGCCUUCGGGUUGUAAACCCCUUUCAGGAGGGACGAAGGUCAGGCCGUUAAUAGCGGUCCUGGCUGACGGUACCUCCAGAAGAAGCCCCGGCUAACUACGUGCCAGCAGCCGCGGUAAUACGUAGGGGGCAAGCGUUGUCCGGAAUUAUUGGGCGUAAAGAGCGCGUAGGCGGUCCGAUAAGUCGGCUGUGAAAGUCCAGGGCUCAACCCUGGAAAGCCGGCCGAUACUGUCGGACUAGAGUCCGGAAGAGGCAAGUGGAAUUCCCGGUGUAGCGGUGAAAUGCGCAGAUAUCGGGAGGAACACCAAUGGCGAAGGCAGCUUGCUGGGACGGUACUGACGCUGAGGCGCGAAAGCGUGGGGAGCAAAC